GGCUACAUAGUUGACAAAGAGCACUAUAAACACAUGGCUACAUCACAUAUGAGGUAAUUCUAAACUCAAUCCUAAAUCCUUAUCUUUCUCGUUCUCUCUGUUUCUCUCUCUCUCUCUGUCUCUCUCUCUUCCUUUCUCCCUCCGUCUCUUUCGCUCCUUUGUUACAAGAUGGGUGUUCCAAUAAAUCAAGAAUUCUACAAGCUUCCUCCCUUCAUA
Molecule: long non-coding RNA, 216 nt
Filed under: Prunus persica (peach)
Lineage: Eukaryota; Viridiplantae; Streptophyta; Magnoliopsida; Rosales; Rosaceae
Description: long non-coding RNA (PPER_LNC001097)
Source: RNAcentral